Molecule: transfer RNA, 73 nt
Filed under: Marmota monax (woodchuck)
Lineage: Eukaryota; Metazoa; Chordata; Mammalia; Rodentia; Sciuridae
Description: tRNA.Undet
Source: RNAcentral
UGGGGUGUUGGCUCAGUGGUAGAGCCCUCGCCUAGCCCAUGCGAGGCACUGGGUUCAAUCCUCAGCACCACAU